This 253-nucleotide ribosomal RNA is filed under the name uncultured bacterium. Its description in RNAcentral is "partial 16S ribosomal RNA". It matches the Rfam family "Bacterial small subunit ribosomal RNA", at positions 524 to 776 of the family's 1533-position model. The record is from RNAcentral.
UACGUAGGGUGCAAGCGUUGUCCGGAUUCACUGGGUUUAAAGGGUACGUAGGCGGUUUGUUAAGUCAGUGGUGAAAGUUUGUGGCUCAACCAUAAAAUUGCCAUUGAUACUGACAGACUUGAGUAUCGGAGAGGGAAGUGGAAUUUGUAGUGUAGCGGUGAAAUGCAUAGAUACUACGAGGAACACCAAUUGUGAAGACAACUUCCUGGCCGAUAACUGACGCUGAGGUACGAAAGUGUGGGGAGCGAACAGG